UUACGACCACAUCAUGUUGAAACAUUGGUUCCUGUAUGAUCACUGAAGUUAAGCAACAUCAAGCCUGGUCAAGACCUAGAUGGGUGACCACUUGGGAAUACCAGGUGCUGUA
Molecule: non-coding RNA, 112 nt
Organism: Acanthosepion pharaonis
Lineage: Eukaryota; Metazoa; Mollusca; Cephalopoda; Sepiida; Sepiidae
Source: the annotation of a GenBank genome assembly